RNAcentral lists this transfer RNA (68 nucleotides) under Scolytinae sp. BMNH 1039994. Its description in RNAcentral is "tRNA-Leu". It matches the Rfam family "tRNA". Rfam says of the family: Transfer RNA (tRNA) molecules are approximately 80 nucleotides in length. Lineage: Eukaryota; Metazoa; Arthropoda; Insecta; Coleoptera; Curculionidae. The record is from RNAcentral.
AUUGUUUUGGCAGAAAAGUGCAAUAGAUUUAGAAUCUUUUUAUAUAGGGUAGUUUCCUAUAAGCAAUA